Molecule: ribosomal RNA, 492 nt
Filed under: uncultured bacterium
Lineage: Bacteria
Description: partial 16S ribosomal RNA
Rfam family: Bacterial small subunit ribosomal RNA
Source: RNAcentral
AGUGAACGCUGGCGGUAGGCCUAACACAUGCAAGUCGAACGGCGGCACAGUAUUAUCUUGCUCUUACGGGUGGCGAGUGGCGGACGGGUGAGGAAUACAUUUGAAUCUACUUUUUCGUGGGGGACAACGUAGGGAAACUUACGCUAAUACCGCAUACGACGUACGGGUGAAAGCAGGGCAGCUUCUGACCUUGCGCGAUUGAAUGAGCCGAUGUCGGAUGAGCUAGUUGGCGGGGGAAAGGCCCACCAAGGCGACUAUCCGUAGCUGGUCUGAGAGGUUGAUCAGGCACUGUGGAACUGAGACACGGUCCAGGCCUCUACGGGAGGCACCAGUGGGGAAUGUUGGAGAAUGGGCGCAAGCCUGCUCCAGCCCUACCGCGUGGGUGAAGAGGGCCUUCGGGUUGUAGAGCCACUUUGUGGGGAAAGAAAAGCGGCAGCAGAAUCCCGCGCGGUUGUGCCGGUACCCAACGAAUAAGCACCGGCUAACUUCGUG